RNAcentral lists this ribosomal RNA (520 nucleotides) under uncultured Glomus. Its description in RNAcentral is "SSU rRNA". It matches the Rfam family "Eukaryotic small subunit ribosomal RNA", at positions 569 to 1090 of the family's 1831-position model. Lineage: Eukaryota; Fungi; Glomeromycota; Glomeromycetes; Glomerales; Glomeraceae. The record is from RNAcentral.
AGCAGCCGCGGUAAUUCCAGCUCCAAUAGCGUAUAUUAAAGUUGUUGCAGUUAAAAAGCUCGUAGUUGAAUUUCGAGAUCAAAUUGUUGGUCGUGCCUUGGUACGCACUGGCAUUAUUGGUUUCUCCCUUCUGACGAAUCAUGAUGUCAUUAAUUUGGUGUCUUGGGGAAUCAGGACUGUUACUUUGAAAAAAUUUAGAGUGUUUAAAGCAGGCUCACGCUUGAAUACAUUAGCAUGGAAUAAUGAAAUAGGACGUUUGAUUCUAUUUUGUUGGUUUCUAGGAUCGACGUAAUGAUUAAUAGGGAUAGUUGGGGGCAUUAGUAUUCAAUUGUCAGAGGUGAAAUUCUUGGAUUUAUUGAAGACUAACUACUGCGAAAGCAUUUGCCAAGGAUGUUUUCAUUAAUCAAGAACGAAAGUUAGGGGAUCGAAGACGAUCAGAUACCGUCGUAGUCUUAACCAUAAACUAUGCCGACUAGGGAUCGGAUGAUGUUAAUUUUUUAAUGACUCAUUCGGCGCCUUA